Molecule: long non-coding RNA, 2364 nt
Organism: Dromaius novaehollandiae (emu)
Lineage: Eukaryota; Metazoa; Chordata; Aves; Casuariiformes; Dromaiidae
Exons: 3
Source: RefSeq, a predicted model, not a curated record
CGGCAUGCGCUCUGUAUUUCACUCCGUACUGCGCAAGUCAGCUCUUUAGCGAGCGGAGCAUUUAGCCGCGUUACAGCCGUGCUACAGCCCUGCAGAGAAAGCAGCACAUUUUGUAUCCUGCCCCGACUGGCUCGUGGAAAUAAGAGACACCCUAUUAACAGCCCUUGUCCAAACAAAGCAUCGGCCGGGCCAGUGCCAGCGCUUUCCAUCCAGGAGCAGUGUUUGUUUUUCCGUGCUCUUAAUCUCACACGUUGAACUGGGUCUGGUAGAAGUGACUUCCCGGCUGUUGCAUAACCCUGGUGUCUUCGGGGUGGGGGACACGUGGACCUGACCUCGAGCUCGGGAAGUUUCCUCGCACCAGGGAGAAGCUCCCCAAAGCCUGAACCGUCUCUGCCGGACCUCUGCGUCCGGGGGGGCCGGGGGAUCCGGGUGCUCCUCGCGGGGCUGCAGGCUGCUGCACCAGCAGAGCAUCAUUGCUUCUCUCCAAAAAGGCGGCAGAGCAGAAAUCCUGUCCGUAUCUGGCACAGUCCAGCCUCCAGGGAUUAAUUAAAGGCUUUUUCAGUUUCUCUUUCAGACCCCACAACGCCGGUCCCUGCCUCGCUGAGGAGGGGACGGGAGAGGCGUGUGCUCCGGGGAAUCACCAGGCUGCUUCAGUUUUCGGUUUUACGCUGCAGUCGUGUUUUGCACCUGGGGGAAUACCGCAGCGCGGCCAGAGCCGGGCUCCUCCGUGUCGGGUCCUUACGUCACCGGUGCACGGCCUCGAGGUCCUUCUGCCUUGUGCUGGCUGACUCCAGCUGCCCCCAGCGUGGGAUCCCCUCUGCAAGGAGCUGCUGGCAUCGGAGUAUUUUCUUCCGAAUAUUGCCCAGAAAUGCGUGCUGCUGCUGCUGUGUUAUACUCCGCUUCAGAGGCUGGCGAGCCAGUUAAUCAGCUGUCCCUCCAUCCCUCCAGCCAGCUGCUUCUCAUAUGUACAGAAGGUGACGGAGAUCCCAAACGAACCUCGCUCCCCGCUGCUCUGCCACAUCGAGCUCUCUCCUCCCGCAGGCACCGUGUUUUUCCCUCGUUUCGGAGAGGAAGAGGACUACGUGGGACAACGGGGAACGGAGAAGGGUGCGUUCACGUAACGACGCGGCGGUGCCUUCUGCAAGAUGGGAAUGAUUAUUAUUGCAAUUUAGAGCAGAGCUUGUUCUCUUCUUCUGCGACUGCAUCUGCUUGCUAUUCUCCAGAUUAACACCUAUUUUAAUAGAAGGCAAAUUUCACGAUUGCGGCUGAGCACUGGACAACCCUACGGAUGCAAGGAGGUUUUCGGCAUCUUCGCGCUGCUCCUGCAAGGGCCGAGCGCCCAGCUGGUCCCUGCCAUAAAUUAAAGUAGCCCUGAGAUUUCUUUGACUCCUUCCACCUACGAGAGGCCUCAGAAGAGGGUAUCGAGGGCAGUAAAUAGCAGGUGUGAGUCCCCUGCCCCAUUUUCGGGUUGCGGGGUGUCUCUGAAAUGUCCCAUCGGAGGGUCACCACUGUGCGGCCCCCCGCUUCGCCCCGGCUACGCGCUCACCUUCGCGGCUGCGUUAAUUCUGUAAUCGCUGAUAUUCGGUGAGCCGAUUCCCUGCAAAAAUCAGUGUAUUUACGCCUGGUACGGCGGCACCGCGCUCGUCCCGAGGGCAGCGGCAGCGCGAAACGCGAGCACCGCGCUCUGCAGCACUUCGGGGGACGUUUAAACGAAGGCUAAACCCUUCAUUUAAAAACAUCUGUUAAUCCUAAUUACGUGCCCGUCACCCAAAGGUUACCUGUUUUAUUCCUUUAGGUAUGCAAAAAGACGCGCUGGCGAAGGAGGAUGAGACGCGGCUGGUUUCUUCCCCGGAGAUCAUGUUUCUCAUGUUUCCUACUUGUUGCAUAACGGCUUAUUUUAGCACCGAUCAGCUGAGGCUUUGUUGUGCAGACAAUCCGGCCCUUUCGGGGGAUCCGUGCAGCGCUGGUUCUUCCAAAACGCUUUUUUGUUUUUAUUAUUAGAUUUAUUUCUCCUCUUAGCGAACGCCGACUGACAGCACCCUGCCGCAGCUCUUCAUAAGCGUUGCAUAAAUGUCUCGCUACGUAAACGGGGCACCGUGCAGUUAAUAUACGUGACCUUUCUGCAGGAGCAUCCAUCCAGUGUUAUCUCGGUGCAUAUUAGCUGCGUGUGUUGCAUAUACGUGUUUGUGUAGGUAUUUGGUAUAAAUGCGCAUAUAUGGUAGCCAGAAAUCUGUUAAGUGCGUGAUCAAUGCUGCAAGGGAAAGUACUCAAAAUUAAGCAAUGCCAGAAUCCCGCCUGCCCGUGCAGCUUAAUAAAUGGCCUUUUGUUGGAGCACAGCGAGGUUUUAAUUGCCCGGUCGGAUGC